Molecule: ribosomal RNA, 414 nt
Filed under: uncultured eukaryote
Lineage: Eukaryota
Description: bacterial SSU rRNA
Rfam family: Eukaryotic small subunit ribosomal RNA
Source: RNAcentral
CAAUAGCGUAUAUUAAAGUUGUUGCAGUUAAAAGCUCGUAGUUGGAUUUCUGGCCGAGUGUCCCUAGGCCAGCAUGACGUUUGGUCCUAGGCGCUCUGCCAUCCUUCUGUCAACCUUCGCCUUCUUCAUUGGGGGCGCUGGGGCUCAGAUAUUUUACCUUGAGAAAAUUAGAGUGUUUCAGGCAGGCUAGGCCGGAAUACAUUAGCAUGGAAUAAUGGAAUAGGACUACGGUCUCUUUGUUGGUUUGAGGGACUGCAGUAAUGAUUAAUAGGGAUAGCUGGGGGUAUUCAUAUUCAAUUGUCAGAGGUGAAAUUCUUGGAUUUAUGGAAGAUGAACUUAUGCGAAAGCAUUUACCAAGGAUGUUUUCAUUAAUCAAGAACGAAAGUUAGGGGAUCGAAGAUGAUUAGAUACCAU